AUUGAACGCUGGCGGCAGGCCUAACACAUGCAAGUCGAGCGGAUGAAGGGAGCUUGCUCCUGGAUUCAGCGGCGGACGGGUGAGUAAUGCCUAGGAAUCUGCCUGGUAGUGGGGGAUAACGUCCGGAAACGGGCGCUAAUACCGCAUACGUCCCGAGGGGGAAAGUGGGGGAUCUUCGGACCUCACGCUAUCAGAUGAGCCUAGGUCGGAUUAGCUAGUUGGUGGGGUAAAGGCCUACCAAGGCGACGAUCCGUAACUGGUCUGAGAGGAUGAUCAGUCACACUGGAACUGAGACACGGUCCAGACUCCUACGGGAGGCAGCAGUGGGGAAUAUUGGACAAUGGGCGAAAGCCUGAUCCAGCCAUGCCGCGUGUGUGAAGAAGGUCUUCGGAUUGUAAAGCACUUUAAGUUGGGAGGAAGGGCAGUAAGUUAAUACCUUGCUGUUUUGACGUUACCAACAGAAUAAGCACCGGCUAACUUCGUG
This 484-nucleotide ribosomal RNA is filed under the name uncultured bacterium. RNAcentral describes it as "partial 16S ribosomal RNA". It matches the Rfam family "Bacterial small subunit ribosomal RNA", at positions 30 to 507 of the family's 1533-position model. The record is from RNAcentral.